GGAGAGGUGAGGAGUGGACUGGUCUGAACCAAGUCACAACAUGGAGAGGUGAGGAGUGGACUGGUCACAGCAUGGAGAGGUGAGGAGUGGACUGGUCACAACAUGGAGAGGUGAGGAGUGGACUGGACACAACAUGGAGAGGUGAGGAGU
This is a long non-coding RNA of Oncorhynchus keta (chum salmon), 150 nucleotides long. RefSeq lists it as uncharacterized. The record is from RefSeq and is a predicted model, not a curated record. NCBI's taxonomy places the organism in Eukaryota, Metazoa, Chordata, Actinopteri, Salmoniformes, Salmonidae. The transcript has 3 exons.